This 941-nucleotide long non-coding RNA is filed under the name Homo sapiens (human). Its description in RNAcentral is "long intergenic non-protein coding RNA 3076". Lineage: Eukaryota; Metazoa; Chordata; Mammalia; Primates; Hominidae. The record is from RNAcentral.
AGUCCUCUCCACCCCAAGGUAGGCAGCUUCCCGCUCCUCGUCUUGGGACCUAAACCCAGGAAGUCAAAUGUCCUUUUCUAGCAGGUCGCCUGGUUAGAGGCCGUGGACGAAGCGGUCCAGGCACAGCCAGCUGCAGGGCGCGGCCUCGGCGGCGCUGCUCGUGGCCCUGGUCAGUGAGCGCACUCACUCCUGGACUAAGCUCUAUGCAACUCAUUUUCAUCUAGCAUUACCUCUCCAAAACCUGAAUCUCCACAAGAAAGCCACACAGCAAUUAACCAGUGUUGCAAGAACUGCUUCUGUAAUAAAGGUGGGAAGACAAAUUGAUGCAACCCUCUUGAAAAGCAAUCUGGCAAUAUGAACCAAGAGCCAUGAAAAGGCUUAUGCUAUUAUAAUUAAAUGGCUGUAAUGUUGGCUGUAAAUAUGAAAUUUUCUUUCACACACCAAUGUUUUCAAGAAUGGCAUAUUCACAUGCAGUAUGUGAUGAAAGAAGCAGUAAAGGAUGCUAACAAAGCUAUUUCUUUGGACAAUCUGAACCUGACGGAGUCUUACUCUGUCGCCCAGGCAGGAGUGCAAUGGCACAAUCUUGGCUCACCACAACCUCCGCCUCCUGGGUUCAAGUGACUCUCCUGCCUGGCCAUAGAAGCAAACACAAACAUAGAGGAAUUGGCUUUGGGCAGAUGGAAGGACCUCAGAGAAAAGAAACAAAGGAAAGAAAACUGGAUGGAUAAAGGUUUGUAGAAAUACUAUUCACAGGAAGCAAAUAGGAAUUCCUUAUCGCUAAACAGACACUAAGUCAAUUGGGCAGAAGAUAUUCCAUAUUACUUUGUAACCUGUUCCCCUAUACUUGCCUUAUGUUGAAGACUUUAGUUGGUGACCACCCUUGAAUGCCAGAAAUAGCAAGUUAUUUAUUGUUAAACAUAUACAUGCAUGUAUCGAUUGGA